UUGAAUUUAUCUUUUUUGCCUGUCUGUAGUUUUGUCAUUUGCCUUCGCUUAUUUGCAUUAUUACUAACGAGUUAUUCCGGAGUAAUAAUUUGAGCUGAAAUGUUUUAGCCUUGAGAGGACUUGACUUUGCAUUCAGAGCUUUAUUUCCCUGUUCCAUCUAGCAUCGCAGAAUAUUUCACAACGAAUUUAAUGCAAACUCGAAUAAGACCAAGGUAGCAUUCGCAGCAUUAGGUUUUGUUGUAAAUUGAAUUUUGCGAUGCUCCAUACUGCUCUCAAAAUCACAGGAACAGCAUCAGAGUGGCGUUUCUUUGUUCCCCGGAUAAAAGUGCUUGUAAUUACUUUUUUUGUAAGUGUCCUCGAGAUGAGCAGCGUAUUCUGUUUCGCUAAAUUAGAAACCAAACUACUUUCUAAUAAACCUGGCUGUUUCAAAAAUGACCUAGAGAAGGGGGAGUCUCAUGGUUAACUAAAAGUAGGACGAUGAUUCUCCCAAAGCACACUGCCUUUACUCUAAUGAGAGACGAGCUGCACACAAAAAAAAAAAAAAAAAAAGGACGAGCUUGUGAAGCUGUCAAAGUGCUGCUUGUUUAGGAUUUAUUGUCUGUUUUUAAAGCUGUUUAGGACACUUGUCUAAAGCGAGCGCAGGUCCAUUUUGUCUCUGCUCUUUUCCAACCUUUGCUCUGCUCUGCUCUGCUGCCGAAAAAUGCUCCCUCCUCACAGAGAAGCUGGGUUUUUCAGAGAGAGGAUAUGUGGACAUACUGCGUGCAGCUCCAGAGGGAUCCGGCACAAUGAGCGGCGAGGAUUUCGGCGCUUUACCCCCGGAUAGCUGACGACUGCGGUGUGUGUGCCAGUUGCCUACAAAGUCUCUGGGCUCAUUAUUCUGGAAUGGCUUGAUUUCCUGGUCAGACUUCAGUGUCGAGGCCGAGGAAACCCGAGAGGAGGCGAGCCGCCGCAGAGAGGAGUCGACCUGUCAAGCUUAAGUGACAUCCAGGAAGUAUUCUGACAGCUUUCUUUGGUUUUGCAACAAUUAAGGCACGAAGACAUAAUCUCAGUUUAUGACACACGGUUAGAUGCACAGUUCACUCUGCUCUACUUUCACAUCUAAUGGGAUUUCCUGCAAAUAUAGAAAGCAAUAAAACGUAAUUAUCAAAAGUAAUAAAACAAACACUGAACCCUACUUACAUUAGGUUAAGUAAUUUAAAGAUAAUAUUGUACAUAGAUUAUUCAAUAAAAAACAAAUAAAAACAUGUCAUGCUGUGCAUUCGCACAGGGUAAGGGAAGUCUGUAUUUUACUCAAAUGUAUUGACAUUAUGCCCUGGGUUACAUCUGCUUAUAUUAAACAUAUUAUACUAUAUAAUAUUUAUAUUUAAUAUUAUACAUAUUCUUAUAUUAUAUAGGCCUAUUUAUGUUUAUAUAAUACUCACAUAGACCUCUUGCUCCGGUGCCCACACAACCAAUAUGCUGUCAAAACUUUCAUUUCUUAUUUCUAAACACAGCCUCCAUAAUUCUUGACCAGGAAAAAAAACAAAAAACGACCUAAAAUUACCACGAUACCGAUUUGCACGGGAAUAAUAAUAUCACGAAAUAUGGUAGGAAAUUUGUGGUAGAAUUUUUACUUGACAAAUAAUGCAGAUUCAAACAAAAUUAACAUUACAGACAACCUACGCAAUUAUUACAAAUUACCAGAAGUCCCCAGGUAAUACUGGUCCUAAAGCUUUAGAUUAAAAAAAUAAAUUAAAAGAAUUUAAAUAAAUGAAGAAUAAAUAGAAAAUAAAAAAGAAAUAAAAUUGAUCAGUUUUUAAUUUCUUCAGUUACUUUGAAAGUUAUUAAAACUCUCCUGUGUGUUUCAAAUUAAUAACAUAUAUACUUACAAAAUGUAUAAUACAGUAAUAAUACAUGAGGUUUAUUCUUGACAAGAUAAUCUCAACUCAAAGGCCCACUAGGUAUCUUUUUCUGAGCUUUCAACUGCAACUCAGUCUUCAUCAGUGGAAAUGUAUUUCAUAUUUCAGCCCACAAAAAAAAAGAUUAGGUAUCUUUUUAUGACUUAUAACUUAUGUUAGAGGGGCCUUUUGUGGUUUAGAGUUUGUGUUCCCAGCAGGUCGACCAUCAGCCGAGUGACAUGAGAGACUUCCUGCAGGAGAUGAACUGUCCUUUGGGGUGAGGUAGUAGGUUGUAUAGUUUUAGGGUCAUUCCCAAGCUGUCAGAUGACUAUACAACUUACUGUCUUUCCUGAAGCGACUGUGAUGCCGCCUUCAUCAUCAUCUUCAUCAUCAUCGUCGGCAAUGUCACGAAGGAAAAUACAACUUCACCACUGCUAAUCCUUUUUAUAUAUAUACAGCAUGUAUGUAUAUAUGUAAUGUUAGAGAUGAAAGUUUUCAUACAAUUAAGAGGUAGAUAAAAUAGGUGCUGCAGCAUGGUAUGUUGAAGAAUUUCCUCAUUUCUUGUACUGUACAUUCAACGUGUAGGCUUUCCGUUCUGAUUACCUGCCCGUCAUUAGAGUGUAUUUGUGAAAUAUAGACAAUUUGAGGAAUUUAAAACUUUUUUUGGUUAUUAAAAUGUAAGUUUAGGAGUCUGUUACUUCAAAUGUGCUGAUUAUAAUUGCAAAUGCUUUAACAAAAAUGGCUCCAUUAGCUGAUAUUUGAAUAAUGUAUUAUCACUAAUCUCGCCGUAUUCACGUAACAGCAACACAGUAGUUGUGGAAUUAAUUUACACAGUGACCAGAUGAACCUUCAAAUCCAGAUGUUUCUUCCCACCCAGCGACCUGGGUGAGUCAUGGUGUUCGUACAGGGUGAGGUAGUAGGUUGUGUGGUUUCAGGGUUGUGAUUUUACCCCAUCAGGAGCUAACUGUACAACCUACUGCCUUCCCUGGAGGGCAGCAGUACAUCACAGCAGCACACGUGGCAUCUUUCUACUUUAGGGAUAAACUGACAAUCUCGUUCACUAUAAGCACGACAAAUGGGUGAGUGGUGCCAAAUCACAAUAUGACUUUACAGUAAUGCGUGUAGAUAGUAUGGAAAAGUGCAAGCGUUUUUUAGAAAGUACAUUUUCAGCAUCAUGAGUGCUUUAACUUUGUACUGUUUCCUUAAUAAAUAAAUAAAGACUGGGUAAUAAAUAAUAGAAGAACAAA
Long non-coding RNA from Sebastes umbrosus (honeycomb rockfish), 3124 nucleotides. RefSeq lists it as uncharacterized. The transcript is spliced from 4 exons. The record is from RefSeq and is a predicted model, not a curated record. NCBI's taxonomy places the organism in Eukaryota, Metazoa, Chordata, Actinopteri, Perciformes, Sebastidae.